RNAcentral lists this non-coding RNA (705 nucleotides) under Ixodes simplex. The record is from RNAcentral. Lineage: Eukaryota; Metazoa; Arthropoda; Arachnida; Ixodida; Ixodidae.
UAAUUAAAAUAUAGUUUUUGAAAAAAUUUUUUAAAUUUUCUUUAUAUUAUUAAUAUGUUAAUUUGAGUUAAAUAGAAGAAAUAUUUAUAAUUUUAAUAAAAUUAAAGUAGAAAUUUAAAUUUAGAUUUGGCAAAACUUGUGCCAGCCGCCGCGGUUAUACAAGUAGAUCUAUUUUUUAAGGUGAUUUUAAUAAUUUUGUUUUUUAUUUGUUUUAAUUUAUUAAGGUGAAAUUUAUAAAUUAUUUAUUAAAUAAAUUUGAUUUUGAAGAAAUUUAAUUUUUAAACUAGGAUUAGAUACCCUAUUAUUUUAAGCUUAAUAUUGUUAGUAGAUAAUUAAUAUGAAAUCAUAAGAUUUUGGCGGUAUUUUAAGCUUUUUAGAGGAAUUUGCUCUUUAAUGGAUAAAACGCCCAGAUCUUACUUAAUUUUGUGAGGACAAUUUGUAUACCACUAUAUUUAAUUAUAUUGAAUAAUAAUAUUUAAGAUUUUAAAAAUAAAUACAUAUUAAGUCAAGGUGCAAUAUAAAAUUAUGAAUGAAGUGAAUUACAAUGAUUUUAAUUAAUAUUAUAUGAAAAAUUUAAUUAGGAUUUAAAAGUAAAUUAUUAAUAUAAUGGAUAUUUGAAUUUAGCUCUAAGAUAUGCACAUAUCGCCCGUCGCUCUCAAAUUUGAGAUAAGUCGUAACAAAGUAAAAGUACUGGAAAGUGUUUUU